CCUACGGGUGGCAGCAGUGGGGAAUAUUGGACAAUGGGCGAAAGCCUGAUCCAGCCAUGCCGCGUGUGUGAAGAAGGCCUUCGGGUUGUAAAGCACUUUCAGUGGGGAAGAAAGCCUUGGGGCUAAUACCCUCGAGGAAGGACAUCACCCACAGAAGAAGCACCGGCUAACUCCGUGCCAGCAGCCGCGGUAAUACGGAGGGUGCGAGCGUUAAUCGGAAUUACUGGGCGUAAAGCGCGCGUAGGCGGUCUGAUAAGCCGGUUGUGAAAGCCCCGGGCUCAACCUGGGAACGGCAUCCGGAACUGUCAGGCUAGAGGGCAGGAGAGGAAGGUAGAAUUCCCGGUUGAGAGGUGAAGUGCGUAGAGAUCGGGAGGAAUACCAGUGGCGAAGGCGGCCUUCUGGACUGACACUGACGCUGAGGUGCGAAAGCGUGGGUAGCAAACAGGAUUAGAUACCCGUGUAGUC
Molecule: ribosomal RNA, 465 nt
Filed under: Vreelandella stevensii
Lineage: Bacteria; Pseudomonadati; Pseudomonadota; Gammaproteobacteria; Oceanospirillales; Halomonadaceae
Description: partial 16S ribosomal RNA
Rfam family: Bacterial small subunit ribosomal RNA
Source: RNAcentral